This 400-nucleotide unclassified non-coding RNA is filed under the name soil metagenome. RNAcentral describes it as "partial contains 5.8S ribosomal RNA, internal transcribed spacer 2, and large subunit ribosomal RNA". The stretch from base 1 to 122 matches the Rfam family "5.8S ribosomal RNA", at positions 35 to 154 of the family's 154-position model. The record is from RNAcentral.
GAUGAAGAACGUAGCGAAAUGCGAUACUUGGUGUGAAUUGCAGAAUCCCGUGAACCAUCGAGUCUUUGAACGCAAGUUGCGCCUCAAGCCAUUAGGUUGAGGGCACGUCUGACUGGGCGUCACAUAUCGUUGCCUGAUGCCAGUUUCCUCGUGAUGGGUGACUGUGCAGGGCGAAUGAUGGCUUCCCGUGAGCAUUGUUGCCUCAUGGUUGGUUGAAAAUUGAGUCCUUGGUAGGGAGCGCCGUGAUAGAUGGUGGUUGAGUGACGAACGAGACCCAAUCAUGUGAGACCCCUACCGAAUUUGGCCUUCAUGACCCACAUGCGUCUUUGGAACGCUCAUGACGAGACCUCAGGUCAGGCGGGGCUACCCGCUGAGUUUAAGCAUAUCAAUAAGCGGAGGA